This 5623-nucleotide long non-coding RNA is filed under the name Homo sapiens (human). RNAcentral describes it as "long non-coding RNA NONHSAT179957.1". Lineage: Eukaryota; Metazoa; Chordata; Mammalia; Primates; Hominidae. The record is from RNAcentral.
UCUCUCUGGUCUCAGUUAACUCUGUCCCUCAGGUCUCAGUGCAGAAGUCACCUCCACCACGAAGCCUCCUCUGUCUGACCCUCUGUUUUAAACUUUUUCCUACUGUAAAUAUGUCCCAUUUUCUGAAAAAAAUCAGCAUAUUUUAAAGUAUUCUGGCACAAAGCUGGUUUUCAGCUUUCAGAGCCAUUUAUUUAUUUAUCUAUUUAUUGGAGACAGAGUCUCGCUCUGUCACCCAGGCUGGAGUGCAGUGGCGCGAUCACAGCUCACUGCAGCCUCCACCUCCCGGUUUCAGUGCCUCAGCCUCUCGAGUAGCUGGGAUUAUACCACACCACCAUGGCUGGCUUUUGUAUUUUUAGUAGAGACAGGGUUUCAUCAUGUUGCCCAGGCUAGUCUUGAAUUCAUGACCUCAGGCAAUCUGUCCACCUCAGCCUCCCAAGUGCUAGGAUUACAGGCGUGAGCCACCGCACCCGGCCCAGAGCCAAAUAUUUAUAUGUUUCUGUAGGUUUCUAUACGUAUGGCACAUAUUACCCUGUGUGGUGAGUGUCUGUGUCAGUGCCUGACUCUCCCACCAGACUGGGAAGUUCUUGGGAAUAGCAACUAGUUCUGUUCCAUCUCUGGGUCCCCAGAGUCCAGUUGAGGGCUAGACACACAGGGAGGAUGAGCCAGUAAGGUGGGUUCCUAUAGGACAGAAGGGAGCAGGGACUGGGACCAGCUGGGCCAUUGAGAGGAGCAGGGUGCGGGAAGGGGCCAGGUGGAGGGGCUGGGCUGGGCCACACCUUGUCUAUGUAACUCUGGCCCAGCCCCUUCACUUCCUGAAGGUGGACCUGGGCUUGGGCCUGGCUCUUCUUGCCUGUCCGCCUCCGACAGCUCUUCCGGUAGAGACAGAAACAGCAGCUGAAGAUGAGGAGGCCUGAGACCAGCACGAUGGUGGCCAGGGCCCAGGGGGGCACUGCAGAGGGGUGGAGACAACACACAUUGAGGCCUGGGCAGCACGCAGGCUGAUUCAGUCCUGAUUACACGUGGAAGCUGGAAUGCUGGCCUCCUUUUCCCUCCAGCCAUUUUCAUUGCAUUUCUUCCUGUGUUUUUCUUCCACCUAAUGUGGCCUAUAGAGAGAUUCGAUGCCCCAACCCAGGCUGACACCAUCUGGAUUUGCUUGCUUGUUAGUUCUGCCUUUCCUUACCCGACCCCGCCCCCCAUUUCUGCUCAACUCCUGAUGCUUUUACAAGAAGCCCUGCUCCUCAUCGGGCCUGUUUCCUUAUCUGUAAAAGAAGAGCUAGGUGGACCUUCCAAUUCUAAGAUCCCAUUCCAUGCAACACCCCUUGAUCCGGUUUCGAUUUUUUUUUUUUUUUUUUUUUUUUUUUUUUUGCAAAUCUGUUCCUUCCUUUUACCCCAUUUCGUUCGCAUUCCAGUCCAGGAUGACGACCCGGGAUCCCAGCCGGAUUUUCCAGCCCGCCUGCCCGAGUACACCCGUCCGAAUCCCGCCCCUCGGAAUCCUGGCCAGGCUUUCUCUCUGCUCGGCCCCCCACCCCCGGGUCUUGCUCACCUGGGCCGUGGCUGAUGCGACUGGAGUCGGGAGGCGUGUCGGGCGAUGGAGGCCCCGGGGUUGGGGGCUCCGGGAACAUGGUGGCGGGGUCCUGGAGUCUUUUCUGCAGAGACACUCAAGCACCCUAGUCCCCCAUUCCCACCCCAGACGUCCUUUGAGCCCCACGCACAACAAAGAACUCCAACUCCCAUGAGGCCUUUGCGCGAACAGCCGCGCAGAAACCGGACAGCCAGAGGCGCCAGCCCCGCCCGGACCCCACCCCCUGCACGUGGGCGGUGGCGCUGUCCCGGGUGCUGAUCGCGGAGCUCUCCGGGGCGGGGGAGCCGCGGAGCGGAGCAGGAUCCCGUGCGCGCGUGUGUGCCCGUGUGCGUGUGCGCGCGUGUGUGGUGUGUAUUGUGUGUGCCCGUAUUUGGUCUCGGGUAGGCGGAAAGCCCUGCCCCGCCCCUCCUCCCGCCUCCACCCGGGAACCUCGAUGACGCCCACAGAUGUUUAUCCUGGUGCUUUAGCAUUUUCUGCCUUCUGGUCCAGUCGUUGGCCGUCCAGACCACUCCACUCCUCCCGCCCCAACACACACGACACACACCCUGUAUAGCCCAAAGAACGGCAUGCCAGGAUACUCAGUCCUAGGACCUAGGAGACCCCAGACCCCCAUUGGAGACCCAGACUCUGCAGGGUUCAGCAUCAAAGUCCCCAGCUAUCAGCCCCCAGACAUCGCCCUCUAAGUUCCCCUAACACCAGUCCCAGGAGGCGGCCAGUGCGGUGGCUCAUACCUGUAACCUCAGCACUUUGGGAGGCCGAAGCAGGAGGAAUGCUUGAGCCCAGGAGCUGGAGACCAGCCUGGGCAACAUAGCAAAAUCCCGUCUCUACAAAAAUGAGCCAGCGUGGUGGUGCGCACUUGUGAUGGCAGCUACUCUAGAGGCUGAGGUGGGAAGAUCACCUGGGCCCAGGAGGUCAAGGCUGCAGUGAGCCACUGCACUCCAGUCUGGGCAACAGAGCAAGACCAUGUCUCAAAAACAAAAACAAAAACAGAACAAAACAACAACAACAACAACAGAGAAGAGUAAAAGAAAAGCUCAGAAGGCAAGUCCCCAAGCACCUAGCUCCAGCGAGCCCUGUCCAUACUGCCCAGACCCUGGACACAGACGUCUGGACACUGCCUUCUCUGAGAGACUCAACCACCCAAACCUACAUUUUUUCAUGUGCAAAUGUGUGGGUCCCUCUAGUCCCCUCCUGGACGUUCGCCUCGAUCCCUAGAUACCAGGAACCCAUCCCUACUCCCAAUCCAAUAUUAUUUCCAGACCCAGAAAUCCAUGGGACAACUGUCUCUGGGGAGAACAGUGAUUUAAUAAAUUAUGGGAUAGAAGGAAAAAUACAUGUGGAUGGUGGGGUGCAGAGAGACCUUGGGCACAGGGACUCCCUCCGACCCCAGAUUAUAGAAGACUGAUUUGGUUUCUGAAGUAAAAUCAAGGCAGGAUCCUUCCUGCCUUUGGUCCUCAAGUAGCCAGAACUCCAGACCCAAAUUCCUUCCUGCCUCAGAAUCCAGGCCCCAGCCUGUUUCUUUCUGCAUCCUGGAAAGACCUAGGGAAUCCAAGCUAUCAUCCCUCUCCUCCUUCAGGGAACCAGGAAUCCAGAUCCCCAGCUCCCAUAGGACUCAUCUGAAGCCCACCAGACCACUCUCUCCUGGGGAAACCAGAGUUUGGGAUACCAGCCCCCUCCUCCCACAGCACCCAGGAGUCUGGGAGCCCAGCCCUCUGCUCUUCCAGGAAUCUGGGCUCAAGUGGGUGUCCAGAGCUUGAGGAUGCCUGGGCUGCCGACCCAGCCCCCUCGUCACUUAGACCUCCAACUUGUGGGCCUGGAUGGCGGCCACGUUCUCGUAGAUGAGGUUUUCGACAUCCUCAUACGGGACUUCCUUCUCGGCUGGGGCCUGGGCUGACUGUUGGAGGAACCGCAGGAUGCACUGAUGCAGGAAUACGUACUGAGCCUGGGAAGCAGGCACGGGAGUGAGAGGCGUCCCCCCAGGUCUGAGCUGCGUGGAGCCCCAGGGUCCCUCGUCCCACUGCCUCCCGUCCUGUGUUGCUGAGGGACUGCCUCACCUCAGUCUGCACCAUCAACGGCCGACUCUCUCUCAUCUUCCUUACAAAGCUGAAGGGCCCAAGGAGACCCUCGGACUGCAGCUGCCGGAGCAGGACGUCCAGGGCAAUGAGGGUUCCUGUGCGACCCACGCCAGCACUAGGCAGAACAAGGGAAGGGUCAGACCAAGGGGCAGGAGUGUGAGGGUCCGGGGUCAUGGCUGAUUGGAGGGAUCUGUGUUUGAAUGAUGACAAUAACUAUGCCUGCUCACACCUGUAAUCCCAGCACUUUGGGAGGCUGAGGCCGGUGGAUCACCCAAGGUCAGGAGUUCCAGACCAGCCUGGCCAACCUGGCAAAACCGUCUCUUCUAAAAAUGCAAAAAUUAGCCGGGUAUGGUGGCGCAUGCCUGUAAUCCCAGCUACUUGGGAGGCUGAGGCGAAGAAUCGCUUGAACCCAGGAGGUGGAGGUUGCAGUGAGCCAAGAUCACACCACUGCACUCCAGCCUGGGCGACAAGAGCAAAACUCCCAUCUCAAAAACAACAACAACAACAACAACAAAACUGCCUGGAGUUCCUUCCAUCUGUUAGGCUCUGUUCUAAGUGCCUGAUGGGCCUUCUUCACUCCUCCCAAACCUAAGAAGUCGGAUGUACUAGCUCCAUUGUACAAAUGGGGAAAUGGAGGCUGAGUGAGGUGAAGUCCCAUUCCCCAGGCCACUCAGCUAAUAAGUGGCAGAGCCGGGGUUCAAAUACAGGAAGAGGAACUCUCCAGCCAAUCAUUUAGUAAUUCCUUUAAACACAAAAAUUAGUCUUUUGUUUUGUUUGAGACAGGAUCUCUCUCUGUCACGAAGGCUGAAGUGCAGUGGCAUGAUCUCGGCUCACUGCACCCUUGACCUCCUGGGCUCAAGUGAUCCUCCUGUCUCAGCCUCCUGAGUAGCUUGGAUCACAGGCAUGCACCACUGCAUCUGACUAACUUAUUAACUUUUUAAUAGAGACGGGGUCUUGCCAUGUUGCCCAGGCUGGUCUCAAACUCCUGGACUCAAGUGAUCCUCCCACCUCAGCCCCCCAAAGUGCUGGGAUUACAGGCAUGAGCUACUGUGCCCAGUGAAAAAAUUAGCUAUUUUAGGCUGGGCACAGUGGCUCACGCCUGUAAUCCCAGCACUUUGGGAGGCUGAGGUGGGUGGAUCACGAGGUCAGGAGAUUGAGACCAUCCUGGCCAAUAUGGUGAAACCCCGUCUCUACUAAAGUACCAAAAAAAAAAAAAAAUUACCCGGGUGUGGUGGCGGGCGCCUGUAGUCCCAGCUACUCGAGAGGCUGAGGCAAGGGAAUCACUUGAACCCGGGAGGCGGAGAUUGCAGUGAGCCGAGAUCACAUCACUGCACUCCCAGCCUGGGCGACAGAGCAAGAUUCCGUCCCCCACAAAAAUAAAUAAAUAAAUAAAUUAGCUAUUUUAAGCUGGGCGCACUGGCUCACGCCUGUAAUCCCAGCACUUUGGGAGGCUGAAGCAGGCGGAUCACCGGAGGUCAGGCGUUGGAGACCAGCCUGGCCAACAUGAAGAAACCUCAUCUCCACUAAAAAUACCAAAAUUAGCCAGGCGGGGUGGCAGGCACCUGUAUUCCCAGCUACUCAAGAGGCUGAGGCAGGAGAAUUGCUUGAACUUGGGAGGUGGAGGUUGCAGUGAGCGGAGAUCGCACCGUUGCACUCCAGCCUGGGUGACAUAGCGAGACUCUGUCUCCACAAAAAAAAAUAGCUAUUUGAACGUGAGCAAUUUGUCACACUCACAACGCUGUGCAGCCCCCACCUCUAUCUACUUGCAAAACACUUUCAUCACCCCUAAAGCAGACACCACGCCCAUUAGGCCGUCUCUCCCUAUUGCCUGUCACCCUCCAGGGCCUGGAAGCUACUAAUCUCUUCAGUGUCUCUGUUGCUUUGGCUGAUCUAGAUAUGCUUCUGGAUAUGCACACUAAUGGAAUGAUGUGAUGACAUCCACUCAGCUCUAAAAUGGGGAGGACAU